UACAUAGGGGGCUAGCUUUGUCCGGAAUUACUGGGCGUAAAGGGUGCGUAGGUGGCAAUGUAUGUUGGAAGUGUAAUCCCUCGGGCUUAACUCAGGGGCUGCUUCCAAAACUGCAUUACUUGAGUGUCGGAGAGGAAAACGGAAUUCCUAGUGUAGCGGUGAAAUGCUCAGAUAUUAGGAGGAACACCAGAGGCGAAGGCGGUUUUCUGGACGACAACUGACGCUGAGGCACGAAAGCGUGGGGAGCGAUUGGG
Molecule: ribosomal RNA, 254 nt
Filed under: uncultured prokaryote
Description: partial 16S ribosomal RNA
Rfam family: Bacterial small subunit ribosomal RNA
Source: RNAcentral